GUAAGGAAUAUUGGACAAUGGGCGGGAGCCUGAUCCAGCCAUCCCGCGUGCAGGACGAAGGCCCUCCGGGUCGUAAACUGCUUUUACAGGGGAAGAAACCCAUGGAUUCAUCCGUGGCUGACGGUACCCUGCGAACAAGCACCGGCUAACUCCGUGCCAGCAGCCGCGGUAAUACGGAGGGUGCGAGCGUUAUCCGGAAUCACUGGGUUUAAAGGGUGCGCAGGCGGCGUGCUAAGUCAGGGGUGAAAUCCCGCCGCUCAACGGCGGAACUGCCCUUGAUACUGGCAUGCUCGGAUCGGCGCGAGGCAGGCGGAACGCGGCAUGUAGCGGUGAAAUGCAUAGAUAUGCCGCAGAACACCGAUUGCGUAGGCAGCCUGCCAGAGCCGCAUCGACGCUGAGGCACGAAAGCGUGGGGAGCGAACAGGAUUAGAUACCCUUGUAGUCC
This 445-nucleotide ribosomal RNA is filed under the name uncultured bacterium. RNAcentral describes it as "bacterial SSU rRNA". It matches the Rfam family "Bacterial small subunit ribosomal RNA", at positions 354 to 796 of the family's 1533-position model. The record is from RNAcentral.